UUAGUCACAGCGCACGACACCUUGAAACCAAAAGUUCUAGGAGUUUCUAGAGAAGCUUUAGUAAGGCAUAGGAGUUGACGGUCUCCCCAUUCUUAUUAGAGGAGCCUGUCCUAUUAUCGAUANCCCCCGUUUANUCUCACCAUUUUUAGUCUAUCUGCCUGUAUACCUCCGUCGUCAGCUUACCUCGUGAGCAAAUCUUAGUGAGCUNAAUGCCCUUACGCCAACGCGUCAGGUCAAGGUGGAGCAAAUGAAAUGGGAUGAGCAUGGGCUUCUCUUUCUAAUAAAGAUAACUCGAAUGACUUUUUAUGAAGCCUAGUCAGAAACGCGGAUUUAGCAAUAAAAAGAAUNUACAAUGUUCNUUUUGGUUUGGNNCNGGGGUGUCUCC
This 385-nucleotide ribosomal RNA is filed under the name Telmatobius dankoi. RNAcentral describes it as "partial 12S ribosomal RNA". The record is from RNAcentral. Lineage: Eukaryota; Metazoa; Chordata; Amphibia; Anura; Ceratophryidae.